UGGGGAAUUUUGGACAAUGGGGGCAACCCUGAUCCAGCCAUGCCGCGUGUGCGAAGAAGGCCUUCGGGUUGUAAAGCACUUUUGGCAGGAAAGAAACGGCGCCGGCUAAUAUCUGGCGUAACUGACGGUACCUGCAGAAUAAGCACCGGCUAACUACGUGCCAGCAGCCGCGGUAAUACGUAGGGUGCAAGCGUUAAUCGGAAUUACUGGGCGUAAAGCGUGCGCAGGCGGUUCGGAAAGAAAGAUGUGAAAUCCCAGGGCUCAACCUUGGAACUGCAUUUUUAACUCCCGAACUAGAGUGUGUCAGAGGGGGGUGGAAUUCCACGUGUAGCAGUGAAAUGCGUAGAUAUGUGGAGGAACACCGAUGGCGAAGGCAGCCCCCUGGGAUAACACUGACGCUCAUGCACGAAAGCGUGGGGAGCAAACAGGAUUAGAUACCCCUGGUAGUCCACGCCCUAAACGAUGUCAACUAGCUGUUGGGUUCUUCGGAGCUUGGUAGCGCAGCUAACGCGUGAAGUUGACCGCCUGGGGAGUACGGUCGCAAG
RNAcentral lists this ribosomal RNA (545 nucleotides) under uncultured bacterium. Its description in RNAcentral is "partial 16S ribosomal RNA". It matches the Rfam family "Bacterial small subunit ribosomal RNA", at positions 355 to 892 of the family's 1533-position model. The record is from RNAcentral.